RNAcentral lists this ribosomal RNA (717 nucleotides) under Phyllactinia betulae. RNAcentral describes it as "eukaryotic LSU rRNA". It matches the Rfam family "Eukaryotic large subunit ribosomal RNA", at positions 82 to 814 of the family's 3401-position model. The record is from RNAcentral. Lineage: Eukaryota; Fungi; Ascomycota; Leotiomycetes; Helotiales; Erysiphaceae.
AGUAACGGCGAGUGAAGCGGUAACAGCUCAAAUUUGAAAUCUGGCUCCCUGCGGAGUCCGAGUUGUAAUUUGUAGAAGAUGCUUUGGGUGCACGAUCCGGCCUAAGUGCCUUGGAACAGGACGUCGUAGAGGGUGAGAAUCCCGUAUGCGGCCGGUUUCGACGCCCGUGUAAAGCUCUUUCGACGAGUCGAGUUGUUUGGGAAUGCAGCUCAAAAUGGGUGGUAAAUUUCAUCUAAAGCUAAAUAUGGGCCAGAGACCGAUAGCGCACAAGUAGAGUGAUCGAAAGAUGAAAAGCACUUUGGAAAGAGAGUUAAACAGUACGUGAAAUUGUUGAAAGGGAAGCGCUUGCAACCAGACUUGGGCGUCGCUGAUCAUCCAAAGUUCUCUUUGGUGCACUCGACGACGCACAGGCCAGCAUCGGUUGGGGUGGUGGGAGAAAGACUGUAGGAACGUAGCUCUUUUCGGAGAGUGUUAUAGCCUGCGGUGCAAUACCGCCUACCUCGACCGAGGACCGCGCUUCGGCUAGGAUGCUGGCGUAAUGGUUGUAAGCGACCCGUCUUGAAACACGGACCAAGGAGUCUAACAUCUAUGCGAGUGUUUGGGUGCGAAACCCAUGCGCGAAAUGAAAGUGAACGUAGGUGAGAACCCUUUGAGGGGGCAUCAUCGACCGAUCCUGAUGUCUUCGGAUGGAUUUGAGUAAGAGCAUAGCUGUUGGGA